RNAcentral lists this ribosomal RNA (441 nucleotides) under uncultured bacterium. RNAcentral's name for it is "bacterial SSU rRNA". It matches the Rfam family "Bacterial small subunit ribosomal RNA", at positions 32 to 507 of the family's 1533-position model. The record is from RNAcentral.
AAUCAACGCUGGCGGCGUGCCUAACACAUGCAAGUCGAACGAGAAAGGGGACUUCGGUCCCUGAGUACAGUGGCGCACGGGUGAGUAACACGUGACUUAUCUACCCUCGAUGGGGAAUAACUUCGGGAAACCGAGGCUAAUACCGCAUACUUAAAGACGACAAGUCGCUAAGAGAUGAGCCUGCGUAGGAUUAGGUAGUUGGUAAGGUAAUGGCUUACCAAGCCCGAUGAUCCUUUAGCUGGUCUGAGAGGAUGAUCAGCCACAUUGGGACUGAGACACGGCCCAAACUCCUACGGGAGGCAGCAGUGGGGAAUUUUGCGCAAUGGGGGAAACCCUGACGCAGCAACGCCGCGUGGAGGAUGAAGUCUCUUGGGACGUAAACUCCUUUCGAUCGGGACGAUUAUGACGGUACCGGAAGAAGAAGCCCCGGCUAACUUCGUG